Molecule: microRNA precursor, 99 nt
Filed under: Marmota monax (woodchuck)
Lineage: Eukaryota; Metazoa; Chordata; Mammalia; Rodentia; Sciuridae
Source: RNAcentral
AGUAGAAUUGCUGUCACAUGGUAACUAUGUUUAACAUUUUGAGGAACUUCCAAACUGUUUUCCAAAACAGCUGCACCAUUUUAUAUUCCCACCAGCAAU